Molecule: long non-coding RNA, 424 nt
Filed under: Heterocephalus glaber (naked mole-rat)
Lineage: Eukaryota; Metazoa; Chordata; Mammalia; Rodentia; Bathyergidae
Description: lncRNA (ENSHGLG00000041781.1)
Source: RNAcentral
GAGGCUCUGUGCAUCAGGCUUGCAUCUGCCUGAAGGAUCCUUGCCUGCCAGGUGUUCAACAACCAAAGUUUAGAGACCAGAACUAAAAAGGUAUCUGGGCUAAGAUGACAGCCAGUAUUUUGGCCCUGGCCCUCCAAAGUCAACUACAACAACUACAACAAAAAGAUCCAGGACAUGAAGGAAGCUUCUCCAAGAUCCUACAUCUUUGGUGUCACCCAACCUCCUGAGCAGGGAGGUUGCUGAACACUAAAAUGGCAAGCUAUGGUAUUCUGAGACAUAAUUCCAUUUUGGCCUCCAGUCACAAUUGAGAUCUCAGUGAUCCCAUGAUGCUGUGAUGCUCCAGGGCAAGGCCACACCUGCAGGAGACACACUGGGAGGAACCAAAUCUUCAUCUGCAUAGUUCCUCAUUGUUCUUAGAUUUCCA